UAAGUAAGCUUUGAUCCAGAGAUUUCCGAAUGGGGAAACCCAGCAUGAGUUAUGUCAUGUUAUCGAUAUGUGAAUACAUAGCAUAUCAGAAGGCACACCCGGAGAACUGAAACAUCUUAGUACCCGGAGGAAGAGAAAGAAAAUUCGAUUCCCUUAGUAGCGGCGAGCGAAACGGGAAGAGCCCAAACCAACAAGCUUGCUUGUUGGGGUUGUAGGACACUCUAUACGGAGUUACAAAGGACGACAUUAGACGAAUCAUCUGGAAAGAUGAAUCAAAGAAGGUAAUAAUCCUGUAGUCGAAAAUGUUGUCUCUCUUGAGUGGAUCCUGAGUACGACGGAGCACGUGAAAUUCCGUCGGAAUCUGGGAGGACCAUCUCCUAAGGCUAAAUACUCUCUAGUGACCGAUAGUGAACCAGUACCGUGAGGGAAAGGUGAAAAGCACCCCGGAAGGGGAGUGAAAUAGAACCUGAAACCGUGUGCUUACAAGUAGUCAGAGCCCGUUAAUGGGUGAUGGCGUGCCUUUUGUAGAAUGAACCGGCGAGUUACGAUUUGAUGCAAGGUUAAGCAGUAAAUGUGGAGCCGUAGCGAAAGCGAGUCUGAAUAGGGCGUUUAGUAUUUGGUCGUAGACCCGAAACCAGGUGAUCUACCCUUGGUCAGGUUGAAGUUCAGGUAACACUGAAUGGAGGACCGAACCGACUUACGUUGAAAAGUGAGCGGAUGAACUGAGGGUAGCGGAGAAAUUCCAAUCGAACCUGGAGAUAGCUGGUUCUCUCCGAAAUAGCUUUAGGGCUAGCCUCAAGUGAUGAUUAUUGGAGGUAGAGCACUGUUUGGACGAGGGGCCCCUCUCGGGUUACCGAAUUCAGACAAACUCCGAAUGCCAAUUAAUUUAACUUGGGAGUCAGAACAUGGGUGAUAAGGUCCGUGUUCGAAAGGGAAACAGCCCAGACCACCAGCUAAGGUCCCAAAAUAUAUGUUAAGUGGAAAAGGAUGUGGCGUUGCCCAGACAACUAGGAUGUUGGCUUAGAAGCAGCCAUCAUUUAAAGAGUGCGUAAUAGCUCACUAGUCGAGUGACACUGCGCCGAAAAUGUACCGGGGCUAAACA
Molecule: ribosomal RNA, 1102 nt
Filed under: Staphylococcus aureus
Lineage: Bacteria; Bacillati; Bacillota; Bacilli; Caryophanales; Staphylococcaceae
Description: partial 23S ribosomal RNA
Rfam family: Bacterial large subunit ribosomal RNA
Source: RNAcentral